UACGGGGGGGCAAGCGUUGUCCGGAAUCAUUGGGCGUAAAGCGCGUGUAGGCGGUUCGGUAAGUCCGCUGUGAAAGUCGGGGGCUCAACCCUCGGAUGCCGGUGGAUACUGUCGAGCUUGAGUACGGAAGAGGCGAGUGGAAUUCCUGGUGUAGCGGUGAAAUGCGCAGAUAUCAGGAGGAACACCAAUUGCGAAGGCAGCUCGCUGGGACGUUACUGACGCUGAGACGCGAAAGCGUGGGGAGCAAACAGG
This 252-nucleotide ribosomal RNA is filed under the name uncultured bacterium. RNAcentral's name for it is "partial 16S ribosomal RNA". It matches the Rfam family "Bacterial small subunit ribosomal RNA", at positions 524 to 776 of the family's 1533-position model. The record is from RNAcentral.